Long non-coding RNA from Columba livia (rock pigeon), 3934 nucleotides. RefSeq lists it as uncharacterized. The transcript has 3 exons. Lineage: Eukaryota; Metazoa; Chordata; Aves; Columbiformes; Columbidae. The record is from RefSeq and is a predicted model, not a curated record.
GGGGCGGGACAAGGAGAUUAGAAUGGGAGAGGUCCCCAGGGUCAGGCAGGGUCCCCAGGGUCAGAUCAGGUCCCCAGGGAUCAGCCCAAAUCCCUGUGGUAGGACAGUGUCCCUGGAAUCAGAGUGUCCCCAGGGCCCCAGGGUCAGGCAGGGUCCUGGGGCAGAGGAUGGGACAGUGUUCCCAGGGCUGGGGUGAGGCACAGGGUGCAGAGGGGUGAAAGAUGCCCUCAUGGACUCCGGUCAUCGUGAAGCCCAUGUAGGGUGGUGCCCAAGCUCGGAUCCACGUGGCAGCCUGGCUCCCUCUGCCACAGCGGUGGCUCCGGGCAGUGGGGUGGCCUCAGGACAGCGGAUUUUGACAGUGGCGUGAUGCGGUUCCUUAGCGCAAGGGAAGCAGAACUGGUUAAUGCAACUAGUCACUCUCAGAGCUAUUGUUCUCCACUGGUAUUCAGUUUUGCAGACUUCUGCUUCUAUUUCAGGCCUGCUGGAGGGCUCACGUACCCAACAGCCCGCCUGGUUUUUUCUUCUGAUUAUUUCAGUCAGCCUAAAAAAAGAUAUUACCUCCCUCUACAAACCUUGCCUCCAUUGUUCUGAGUGGAGAAAAUAAGAAGGGAAGGAGAGAAAAAGUCUCGAUGCCUGUUACCUCUGGGUUAAAUGCGCUUCUGCAUAGGUAUGGCAAGUGCUGGAAGGAAAAACAGGAGACAGCUUCUGGUAACCAGAGCUGGAAGAGAUCGGAACCAUCCAUCAGGGCUGGCUGUCCCCACCCUGCAGGGCCAGGGGUUAAUGGAAGAGACAGGAAUCACCCUGGGACACAUUGGGGUUGGAAAUGAGAAAUCUUGGUGCUGUCAAGGCACCUUGACAAGGAAAUGAUUGCCAUGUCAGCAGAAAGGAGAAAGUCAAUAAUAGAGGUGCUAUGAUGAAUCUGUGUUUUGACAAGAGGUUGAGACACUGAACACUCUUGGAAAAGCAAAGGGAAGAAAGACGGAUCCUAACUGGCCAUUACUGGUGUGACUGGGGGGAGAGGACAGCACGGGGGGGACGCAUCGUGCCCAGCGCUGUGGGGUUGCCCAGGAACUGUGCUUGCCUUUCUCUCAUCUCCAGGAUUUUGGGGCAGGACCCCCUAUUUAUUCCACUGCACAGGGCUGCAAGAGCAGCAGGGGCUGAGCCAGGACUGGAGCUCCUCAGAGCAGCUACGCGCAAAUAAUUAUUAUUGAUAAUUAGCAAAAACACACUGAUGGCAUCUCCUUCAUAUCAGCUUAGCUCUGAAUUUGGCAAAGGCUCCAGUCUCACUGAGACGAUCCCCUUGUUGUGUAAACACCUUCUGUGGCCUCCCCUGCCCCUCCUCCACAGCUGAGAGCCAAACUAGGCAAAGAAAAUGCUGCUAUGAGCUCCGGUGAUGGCACGGAGAGGCCUGGACAGCGGCUGGGAGUUGAGAGCAUCCUUCAGAUUUCUCCUUUACCUGGUACAAUGGGCACCUCUGAAAGAUUUGACCAAAAAAUCGUGGCUGGCCAUCAUCAUUCAGAGCUGUUGCCACACCAGGGUUAGCUCUCUGCUGCCUAACAUCAGGCAGACCCGGAGGGAUCCACCACGACCUCGAUGGCAGGACCGCAGGAACAGCCGCUGCGGGGGGACCUGUCGUCUGCGAGGGGGUGCUCAUUGCACGAGAAUGUGGAGGCUGGUCCAAAAACGCUGCGGGGAGACUUGCUGGGCACAUGUCUGCAGCUGGGGCUGGGCUGCCCCUUCAAGACACCAGUUACCGCUGCAGAGGGAACACAUCUUGGGUAGAGACUGCAAAGUGCCCUCUCUGAAUGGAGCUGGAAACAUGCUCAGAAAUCUGUGAAGACCAAAGGAAGACAUGUGGAAGAGGAGUCAGAAAGAAAGGAAGAUGAAGGGGCAACAUGGCUUCCUUCAUAUUUCCCGGUGAAACAAGGAAAAAACCCAACACUGCCCUUUAUUGUCUCAGAAAACCCACUUGCAGCUCAGCCCUGAAAGCAGGAUUCAGCAGCUCAGUAUAACCCAAACGUUUCCUGGGCUGCCUUCAAGAAAAUUUUGGAACAGAGAGGGCUUAAAUCCUGCUGAAGAGGCCCAUUUAUCUGGGAACUGAAAAAAAAAAAAAAAAAAAAAAUUGGGAUAAUAUUUAGAAAAACCUGUGAAUGGGCAUGGCCCGGUGUGUGCCGAGCAGCAGCAACCUGCUGGGCAGGGGGAGAAGCCCCCUCUGCAUGUGGCUAAUUUUCCCCUUUUCAUUUCUUUCCCAUUUCCUUCCUGGCUCUGAAAGGUUUUGCUCUUCCCAGGUGGGUCCUUGGGGUGUGUUUCCCUCAGGAGAGUGGCUGAAAGAAAAGACUUGUUGUGGGCAGGGUGGGUAGAAACCCUGCCUGGUCGGAGCAUCCCCGAGGGCUGGUGUGGAGAGCAUCUUUCCCCCAGUUAACAGCCCAGGCUGAUCCACAGGACCUGUUUAAUCAGAUAACACUUAAAACCAGGUUGAUUUCUGCCUAAUUGGUGAAUAAUAAACAUUUAAUUGGCAAAGCUUAAACGAAGCUGUAACCCCCCCUUCCCUGAGCCAUUAGCAGCAUCUAUUUUAACACUCAGAGCCUGGCUGGGAUUCAACAAAUGCUGGGUUUGGGGCUUUUUUUUCCCUGUUGAAAUACAUGAAUGUGUGUUCAAAAUUCAGUUGGCCAUCUCAGUCAGGUUUGAUGUAUAAUUAUGUUUGAUGAGGAAUAAUCGGCUUUCAAAACAAGACCAGGUUAACAUCUUUCCUGCUGUCUCCUGCGGGGAAGUCAAUAUUCACCACCAGCAGCUAAUGCUGAUUUUUAUGGGACUAUAUCCAGACACGUCCAGGGCUCCAUAAAACCCUCCUUCACCUUUGGCUGAUUUUUUUUUUUUUUAAGUCUUUUUUUCAACCUGGGAUGGGGUUUUUAUUACUGUGGAGUUUUGAUUCUUGAAGGAUUUGCCCCCCUGCCAUGGAUCUCAGGCUGCCUUGGCAGGAUGCAAAUGGACAUUUGCUGUAAAUAGGUGGGUUUACCCCCAAUUUUCCAGCUCAUCAGGAAAGAAAAUAAACAUCAGAGGUUUUGGGGGGGAUAUCCAAAAGGGAAACUUUGAAUUCUCAGACCAAACUGACUGCAAGAUUUGGGAGGUUGGUGCUGGUUCCAAGCCUGGCUGCAGGUUGAUGCUGCUGGUGCGGUCCUCAGCACAGAUGCUGGUUGAUGGUGGAUGGUUGAUGGUUGAACUGGUGUAGGGUCGGCUCUGCUUUAGCACCAGCGCCUGCCUAGGUGGAGCUGCUUCUCUUCAGCAUCGCGUCUGGCCAGAAAAUGCUGGAUUUGCUCCGAUCGCCCAAAUACUGCCUGACUGCAGCUUCUGAGCAGAGAUUGGGAAACAAAACAAAACAAAACAAAACAACACCCAAGCUGUGGGGUUGUGUUUGUUUUCCAUGCUCCCCCUGUGAAAUACCAUGCCAAAGGUAGCACCUCUUGGAGAUGAGGCUUUGGCAAAUCUUGUAAUGCUGACGAAACCUCCAGGAACGCCCUUGGUGAGCCCUGAGUGUCCCUUGAUGCUGAGAUGGGGACUGAGUCCCAGACCUGGCUUUCCAGAGGAUGUGGGGACAUGUGUGACACUGACCCACAGGACAACCCCUUCUCUGCCAAAAACUGUCCCUUCCCCAAGAGAGAGGCAGCCAGGCCCCUCUGCAGCCCCAAGGGGACGCUCCCGCAUCUGUCUCUCCAGCAAACCCCAAAACUACUGCCCACCAGGAUUUGAGCCCCCAAAUUCCCAACUGGGGCCAAAAUGUCCCCAAAAGGGGACCAGAGGCACAGCUCUGGGGAGGUUUAAAAGCCACCAGCCAAAAGUUGAGGGGGAAAUACCUUAAACUGGGAACACAUGGUGCUUGGGCAGCUCUCCUGCUUUUUUUUUAUUAUUAUUUUCAGGGUAUUUUGCAGCAAUUAAG